Long non-coding RNA from Octopus sinensis (East Asian common octopus), 544 nucleotides. RefSeq lists it as uncharacterized. The transcript has 3 exons. NCBI's taxonomy places the organism in Eukaryota, Metazoa, Mollusca, Cephalopoda, Octopoda, Octopodidae. The record is from RefSeq and is a predicted model, not a curated record.
CAUCGCAAUGGGGAAAGGGGACAAUAACCUCCGUAAAUUCAAAGAAUAACAUCUCGGUAGAUGGUAUGCCACGCCACGUUUUGGACAUACGGAGGAUUGUCCAUGCCCCGGAGGAUGGGACAAGCAACAGUGGGCAAGACGAUAACAACAGACAGGAUGACGAGGUCGGCAGCAACACGCCAGAAACAAGUCCUAGGGUCGCACUGCGACCACAGAGGGAGCGGCACCCUCCUCCCUGGUUGGCUGACUAUGAAACCAGUUUCAGGUGCGGGAGCGAGUGAGGAAGCCGGUUCAGUGAUCUAUAGAUCAGGGGGGCGUGUGGUGUGGUGAUGAGGGAGUGUGACAGAGAGGGAGGGAGUGGAAGUGGGUCUUGCAGGUCUCGCAGGGCGCAUGCGCCGGCGGAAGCGGAAGUGAGAGACAGAACGCACGUGCGGCAUCGACCAGGGCAGUCAGACUCGAGAACGACGCCAAGACGACAAGACGCUAGCAAGUUGGCUCAAGGCGAAUCCGGCUUCAUCUCUACAGGUGAUGAUGCAUGGUUUUG